Molecule: ribosomal RNA, 680 nt
Filed under: uncultured bacterium
Lineage: Bacteria
Description: bacterial SSU rRNA
Rfam family: Bacterial small subunit ribosomal RNA
Source: RNAcentral
CGGCGCAAGGGUGCGUAACGCGUGAGCAACAUGCCCGUCUCAGGGGGAUAACCGGUGGAAACGCCGCCUAAUACCCCAUGGCGAUAUAUUGAGGCAUCUUGAUAUAUCUAAAGCUCCGGCGGAGACGGAUUGGCUCGCGUGACAUUAGCUGGACGGCGGGGUAACGGCCCACCGUGGCUACGAUGUCUAGGGGUUCUGAGAGGAAGGUCCCCCACACUGGAACUGAGACACGGUCCAGACUCCUACGGGAGGCAGCAGUGAGGAAUAUUGGUCAAUGGGCGGGAGCCUGAACCAGCCAUGCCGCGUGAAGGCGAGUGCCCUACGGGCGUUAAACUUCUUUUGUGCGGGAGCAAUAAGGGCCACGCGUGGCCCGAUGAGAGUACCGCACGAAUAAGCAUCGGCUAACUCCGUGCCAGCAGCCGCGGUAAUACGGGGGAUGCGAGCGUUAUCCGGAUUUAUUGGGUUUAAAGGGUGCGUAGGCUGUGAGGUAAGUCAGCGGUGAAAUGCCCCCGCUCAACGGGGUGAAGUGCCAUUGAUACUGCCUUGCUGGAAUGCGGAUGCCGUGGGAGGAAUGUGUGGUGUAGCGGUGAAAUGCAUAGAUAUCACACAGAACACCGAUUGCGAAGGCAUCUCACGAAUCCGCGAUUGACGCUGAUGCACGAAAGCGUGGGUAUCAAACA